GACGAACGCUGGCGGCGUGCUUAACACAUGCAAGUCACGGGGGCCCGCAAGGGUAACCGGCGAACGGGUGCGUAACACGUGAGCAACCUGCCGAUCUGAGGGGGAUAGCCGGCCCAACGGCCGGGUAAUACCGCAUACGUUCUUUUGGUCUCAUGACCGAGAGAAGAAACCUCCGGGGCAGAUCGAGGGGCUCGCGGCCUAUCAGCUAGUUGGUGUGGGUAACGGCCCACCAAGGCGACGACGGGUAGCUGGCUGAGAGGAUGGCCAGCCACAUUGGGACUGAGAGACGGCCCAGACUCCUACGGGAGGCAGCAGUGGGGAAUCUUGCGCAAUGGCCGAAAGGCUGACGCAGCGACGCCGCGUGGAGGAUGACGGCCUGGUU
This 382-nucleotide ribosomal RNA is filed under the name uncultured bacterium. RNAcentral's name for it is "bacterial SSU rRNA". It matches the Rfam family "Bacterial small subunit ribosomal RNA", at positions 28 to 424 of the family's 1533-position model. The record is from RNAcentral.